This 514-nucleotide ribosomal RNA is filed under the name Aphanius dispar. RNAcentral's name for it is "Aphaniops dispar partial 12S ribosomal RNA". It matches the Rfam family "Bacterial small subunit ribosomal RNA", at positions 783 to 1533 of the family's 1533-position model. Lineage: Eukaryota; Metazoa; Chordata; Actinopteri; Cyprinodontiformes; Aphaniidae. The record is from RNAcentral.
UACCCCACUAUGCACAGCCAUAAACUUUGAUAGCACACUACAAUCACUAUCCGCCCGGGUACUACGAGCAUAAGCUUAAAACCCAAAGGACUUGGCGGUGCUUUAGAUCCACCUAGAGGAGCCUGUUCUAGAACCGAUAACCCCCGUUAAACCUCACCUUCCCUUGCCCUUCCCGCCUAUAUACCGCCGUCGUCAGCAUACCCUGUGAAGGGACAACAGUAAGCAAAAUUGGUACAGCCUAAAACGCCAGGUCGAGGUGUAGCACAUGAGAAGGAAAGAAAUGGGCUACAUUUCCUUUUUAAGGAAACACGAAUUGUGUUUUGAAAAACCACAUGAAGGAGGAUUUAGCAGUAAGUAAGAAAAAGAGCGUCUUACUGAACCCGGCCCUGAAGCGCGCACACACCGCCCGUCACUCUCCCUAAGCCACUAAACAAUCAUCUUUAAUAAACAAAACAGGCAAAGGGGAGGCAAGUCGUAACAUGGUAAGUGUACCGGAAGGUGCACUUGGAAAAAU